CCUACGGGAGGCAGCAGUGAGGAAUAUUGGUCAAUGGGCUUGCGCCUGAACCAGCCAAGUCGCGUGAGGGAAGACUGCCCUAUGGGUUGUAAACCUCUUUUGUCAGGGAGCAACGCCGGCUACGUGUAGCCGGACUGAGAGUACCUGAAGAAAAGGCAUCGGCUAACUCCGUGCCAGCAGCCGCGGUAAUACGGAGGUUGCGAGCGUUAUCCGGAUUUAUUGGGUUUAAAGGGUGCGUAGGCGGAAUGCCAAGUCAGCGGUAAAAUCGCGGGGCUCAACCUCGCUCCGCGGUUGAAACUGGGGUUUUUGUGUGGGAGCGAAGUAUGUGCGAUGCGUGGGGUAGAGGGGAAAUGCAUAGAUAUCACGCAGAACUCUGA
RNAcentral lists this ribosomal RNA (377 nucleotides) under uncultured bacterium. RNAcentral describes it as "partial 16S ribosomal RNA". It matches the Rfam family "Bacterial small subunit ribosomal RNA", at positions 338 to 712 of the family's 1533-position model. The record is from RNAcentral.